CCUACGGGAGGCAGCAGUGAGGAAUAUUGGUCAAUGGGCGCAAGCCUGAACCAGCCAAGUCGCGUGAGGGAAGACGGCCCUACGGGUUGUAAACUUCUUUUGCCGGGGAGCAAACCCGAGCACGUGUGCCCAGGCGGAGAGUACCUGCAGAAAAAGAAUGGGCUAACUCGGUGCAAGCAGCCGCGGUAAUACGGGGGUUGCGAGCGUUAUCCGGCUUAAUUGGGUUUAAGGGGUGCUCAGGGGGGCGAUUAAGCCGGGGGUAAAAAGUCAGGGUCCAACCCUGUCGAGCCGCCGGUACUGGCAGCCUUGAGAGGACGAGAAGUAGGCGGAAUGCGUGGUGUAGCGGUGAAAUGCAUAGAUAUCACGCAGAACGCCGAUUGCGAAGGCAGCAUACCGGCGCCCGACUGACGCUGAGGCACGAAAGCGUGGGGAUCGAACAGGAUUAGAUACCCCAGUAGUC
Molecule: ribosomal RNA, 460 nt
Filed under: uncultured bacterium
Lineage: Bacteria
Description: partial 16S ribosomal RNA
Rfam family: Bacterial small subunit ribosomal RNA
Source: RNAcentral